AUCUUGGGGGGUGUGGGGUAGGGAUCAGUACAUGCGUCCGCAAACCCUAAACCUGUCCCUCUCUUGGGGGAGUUCAAUUAAUGGGGGGGUCUUUGACCAGUGUUUCCCCUCGUAGUGGUUAAAAAACAGAAACGCUGAUGCUCUCUCCUUGCAUGGUGGCUGUUUCCCUCGUUGACAAGCCUCCCCUUGAGAGGAGUAUCGAGGUGGUACCGCUUACAUCUGGCCGGUGUCUCGGGGUACUGGAUUCCUCGCCUCUCUACCACCACCCGCUUUU
Molecule: non-coding RNA, 274 nt
Filed under: Populus simonii
Lineage: Eukaryota; Viridiplantae; Streptophyta; Magnoliopsida; Malpighiales; Salicaceae
Source: RNAcentral